RNAcentral lists this ribosomal RNA (301 nucleotides) under uncultured bacterium. Its description in RNAcentral is "partial 16S ribosomal RNA". It matches the Rfam family "Bacterial small subunit ribosomal RNA", at positions 509 to 807 of the family's 1533-position model. The record is from RNAcentral.
CAGUCGCCGCGGUAAUACGUAGGUGGCAAGCGUUGUCCGGAAUUAUUGGGCGUAAAGGGCUCGCGGGCGGUUUCUUAAGUCUGAUGUGAAAGCCCCCGGCUCAACCGGGGAGGGUCAUUGGAAACUGGGAAACUUGAGUGCAGAAGAGGAGAGUGGAAUUCCACGUGUAGCGGUGAAAUGCGUAGAGAUGUGGAGGAACACCAGUGGCGAAGGCGACUCUCUGGUCUGUAACUGACGCUGAGGAGCGAAAGCGUGGGGAGCGAACAGGAUUAGAUACCCCAGUAGUCCCUGUCUCUUAUAC